CGGGUGAGUAAUGCUGGGAAACUGCCUGAUGGAGGGGGAUAACUGCUGGAAACGGUAGCUAAUACCGCAUAACGUCGCAAGACCAAAGAGGGGGACCUUCGGGCCUCUUGCCAUCGGAUGUGCCCAGAUGGGAUUAGCUAGUAGGUGGGGUAACGGCUCACCUAGGCGACGAUCCCUAGCUGGUCUGAGAGGAUGGCCAGCCACACUGGAACUGAGACACGGUCCAG
Molecule: ribosomal RNA, 227 nt
Filed under: uncultured bacterium
Lineage: Bacteria
Description: partial 16S ribosomal RNA
Rfam family: Bacterial small subunit ribosomal RNA
Source: RNAcentral